UACCAUGGUUUUCCUGCGAAUCUCCUC
Molecule: small RNA, 27 nt
Filed under: Bombyx mori (domestic silkworm)
Lineage: Eukaryota; Metazoa; Arthropoda; Insecta; Lepidoptera; Bombycidae
Description: ovarian small RNA-6030
Source: RNAcentral